Molecule: ribosomal RNA, 468 nt
Filed under: uncultured bacterium
Lineage: Bacteria
Description: partial 16S ribosomal RNA
Rfam family: Bacterial small subunit ribosomal RNA
Source: RNAcentral
GACGAACGCUGGCGGCGCGCUUAACACAUGCAAGUUGAACGGAAAGGCCCUGCUUUUGUGGGGUGCUCGAGUGGCGAACGGGUGAGUAACACGUGAGUAACCUGCCCUUGACUUUGGGAUAACUUCAGGAAACUGGGGCUAAUACCGGAUAGGAGCUCCUGCUGCAUGGUGGGGGUUGGAAAGUUUCGGCGGUUGGGGCUGGACUCGCGGCUUAUCAGCUUGUUGGUGGGGUAGUGGCUUACCAAGGCUUUGACGGGUAGCCGGCCUGAGAGGGUGACCGGCCACAUUGGGACUGAGAUACGGCCCAGACUCCUACGGGAGGCAGCAGUGGGGAAUAUUGCACAAUGGGCGGAAGCCUGAUGCAGCAACGCCGCGUGCGGGAUGACGGCCUUCGGGUUGUAAACCGCUUUCGCCUGUGACGAAGCGUGAGUGACGGUAAUGGGUAAAGAAGCACCGGCUAACUACGUG